This 253-nucleotide ribosomal RNA is filed under the name uncultured bacterium. RNAcentral describes it as "partial 16S ribosomal RNA". It matches the Rfam family "Bacterial small subunit ribosomal RNA", at positions 524 to 776 of the family's 1533-position model. The record is from RNAcentral.
UACGAAGGGGGCUAGCGUUGUUCGGAAUUACUGGGCGUAAAGCGCACGUAGGCGGCUUUGCAAGUCGGGUGUGAAAUCCCCAGGCUUAACCUGGGAACUGCAUUCGAGACUGCAUUGCUAGAGUAUGGGAGAGGGAAGUGGAAUUUCCGGUGUAGCGGUGAAAUGCGUAGAUAUCGGAAGGAACAUCAGUGGCGAAAGCGACUUCCUGGACCAAUACUGACGCUCAUGUGCGAAAGCGUGGGGAGCAAACAGG